Pimephales promelas (fathead minnow) is the source of this 455-nucleotide non-coding RNA. The record is from RefSeq and is a predicted model, not a curated record. Lineage: Eukaryota; Metazoa; Chordata; Actinopteri; Cypriniformes; Leuciscidae.
AUUAGUUUGCUCUUAUUUUCUUUUUGCAGCGAUUGAGUUGUGUGCAUGUCACGACAGAUUGAGCCCUUCAGAAGGAUAGUAGCAGAUAAGCAGCUAUGUUAACGUCAUGGAGAGCUGAGUACUUGUUGCACACCAUUUAGGAGUGUUUUUGCCGGAUUAUUGCCUGACUGAUUGUUGCCUGAGUGCCAGUCAGAAAUAUCGGAUGUUUGAGAUUUCUUUUUUCCCAACGAUGGCUGCGUGGUUACCCUCACUGUAUGGAUGGCGGUGGUGAGGUGGCUGGGAUCGUGUGGUGUUGGUCACUUUAUUUGUAUUUUUGCCUUUAGGGAUGCAGUGUGAUUGCUGUGAGUUUUGCUGUGGUGAGAGCACUUUUCAGGACUACUGCCUUCACGAUAUAGGUAACCUGUGGCCAUCUGUGGGUUGUUGUUUUUGUUUCUUAUUUUUUUUAUUUGUUAUUU